UUCCUCCUCGUUUAGGAGGUAAGGCCUGCUCACUGAAAAUUAAAGAGCCGCAGUAUUUUGACUGUGCUAAGGUAGCAUAAUCAUUAGUCUUUUAAUUGAAGACUGGUAUGAAUGGCUAAACGAAAAAUAAGCUUUUUUUGUUAUUAUGAUUAAAUUUAUCUUUUAAGUGAAAAGACUUAAAUGCUUCAGAAAGACGAGAAGACCCUAUAGAGUUUCAUACGUACAUUAAUAUAAGCUUUUUAGUUUUUUAUAGUUUACAUUUCAGAUCGUAUUUUGUUGGGGCGACGUUUAGAUAAAAUUAACUCUUAAUAUUUAAAACUUUUAUGGAAGUUUUUUUUGAUCCUUUAAAAGAGAUUAUAAGAAAAAAUUACCUUAGGGAUAACAGCGUAAUCUUUUUUGAGAGUUCAAAUCGACAAAAAGGUUUGCGACCUCGAUGUUGGACUAAAAUUUAGGCAAGGUGCAGCAGUUUUGCUUUAGGGUCUGUUCGACCCUUAAAAUUUUACACGAUCUGAGUUCAGACCG
This 522-nucleotide ribosomal RNA is filed under the name Pollicipes polymerus. RNAcentral's name for it is "partial 16S ribosomal RNA". It matches the Rfam family "Bacterial large subunit ribosomal RNA", at positions 1834 to 2618 of the family's 2925-position model. Lineage: Eukaryota; Metazoa; Arthropoda; Thecostraca; Pollicipedomorpha; Pollicipedidae. The record is from RNAcentral.